RNAcentral lists this ribosomal RNA (941 nucleotides) under uncultured delta proteobacterium. RNAcentral describes it as "bacterial SSU rRNA". It matches the Rfam family "Bacterial small subunit ribosomal RNA", at positions 8 to 924 of the family's 1533-position model. Lineage: Bacteria; Deltaproteobacteria. The record is from RNAcentral.
AGAGUUUGAUCCUGGCUCAGAACGAACGCUGGCGGCGUGCUUAACACAUGCAAGUCGAACGCGAACGAGUUCUUCGGAACUUCAGUAGAGUGGCGCACGGGUGAGUAACGCGUAAGUAAUCUACCCUCGCAUUUGGGAUAACCCACCGAAAGGUGUGCUAAUACCGGAUACGUCUAUUUUAAUAUCUUUUUUAUAGAGAAAGGUGGCCUCUGAUUCAAGCUACUGUGCGGGGAGGAGCUUGCGUACCAUUAGCUAGUUGGUAGGGUAAUGGCCUACCAAGGCAACGAUGGUUAGCGGGUCUGAGAGGAUGAUCCGCCACACUGGAACUGAAACACGGACCAGACUCCUACGGGAGGCAGCAGUGAGGAAUAUUGCGCAAUGGGGGCAACCCUGACGCAGCGACGCCGCGUGGAUGAUGAAGGCCUUCGGGUUGUAAAAUCCUGUCAGAUGGGAAGAAGUGUAAUAUGGUUAAGAGCUGUAUUAUUUGACGGUACCAUCAAAGGGAGCACCGGCUAACUCCGUGCCAGCAGCCGCGGUAAUACGGAGGGUGCAAGCGUUGUUCGGAAUUACUGGGCGUAAAGCGCGCGUAGGCGGUUGUAUAAGUCAGAUGUGAAAGUCCAUGGCUCAACCAUGGAAGUGCAUUUGAAACUGUAUAACUUGAGUACUGGAGGGGGUGGUGGAAUUCCCGGUGUAGAGGUGAAAUUCGUAGAUAUCGGGAGGAAUACCGGUGGCGAAGGCGACCACCUGGCCAGAUACUGACGCUGAGGUGCGAAAGCGUGGGGAGCAAACAGGAUUAGAUACCCUGGUAGUCCACGCCGUAAACGAUGUGAACUAGGUGUUGGGAUGGUUAAUCGUCUCAUUGCCGGAGCUAACGCAUUAAGUUCACCGCCAGGGGAGUACGGUCGCAAGAUUAAAACUCAAAGGAAUUGACGGGGGCCCCC